AUAGGGAAGGAUUUACUAUUUUUUUUGUUCAUUGUUGUUAGUCUAGUUCUGUUAGUUUCUGAAGAAAUGAUAUUCUUAGUUUAGUGUUCUUACUGCUCCCAUAUCCCUACUAGUAACCCCUCCAAUUUUACUUUUGAUAUAUUCACUCAUCACUCCUACUAUAUUGUAAAUUCCUUUGAGGCAAUAGAUGCCUUUCAGCUAUAUGUCACUAGGCUCAAGCACAAUGUCUAGUGUAGAAUCAACUCUGAAUAAACAUUUAGUAAAAUAAUAUGUGUAAGCUAAGUGAAAUGCUUAUAUUUUUCUUUUCCCCCCAGCUUCAGCUGUUUCUCCUGAACUAUGAAUUAUCUUAGGAAAGAUUGUAUUUUCAGGAAUUAAGUCUAGUGGAGACACAGCAGGACUCCACAGACAGCUAGAUUUGGAUAAAAUGUAGACUGCCUCAAGGCCAGUGUGUUGACUUCUCACCAGCCUCAUCUGAACCCACACCCUUUAACAUACAUACAAAACACCCUGAAGGGUUGGGCUGCCAGCUUUCUUUAGGAUAAUAGAGGGCAGGUUAAGUUUGUUUGACAUAACUAGAAGAGGCGGAGCCUCUUCCUAAUGGAGCAAGGUCCAUUUAUGGCAAGUUGUGGUCCCCCACCACUACCAGCUACUUCUGGAUAGCUUUUGCUUAGAGUUGAUGAGAUAUUAUUUCUUUCA
This is a non-coding RNA of Macaca mulatta (Rhesus monkey), 696 nucleotides long. Lineage: Eukaryota; Metazoa; Chordata; Mammalia; Primates; Cercopithecidae. The record is from RefSeq and is a predicted model, not a curated record.